GAUUACUCUUGCAAAUGGAUAUAAGAAAGUUAUUGGCUUGCAGCAAGGAUAAAUAUGCAAGGAGGAAUGAGAGCGGUAAGCUAGUCAAGGUAGAGCAGCAGAGUGCAGGAAGAGGUGAAAGAGUGAUGGAAGUUGAUGAGCAUGAGCAGAGGGAUCCCGGUGGAUAAGAAUUUGGAAAAACUGAGGCAACACAUUAGUUGUUAGGUCCUCUUCCCCUUCCUACUGAGACAUGCCCACCUCCAGCAGGUGUGCAUGUUUUUUAGUUGAUUACAGGUCAGACGAGUGGAGCGGCCACACCUGAGGGCAAUGAACAUCAGCCAGCUUUAAAAGCCAAGCAGACGCUCCACCUCGUCGCCCGAUCAACUCGUCUG
Molecule: long non-coding RNA, 371 nt
Organism: Corythoichthys intestinalis (scribbled pipefish)
Lineage: Eukaryota; Metazoa; Chordata; Actinopteri; Syngnathiformes; Syngnathidae
Exons: 3
Source: RefSeq, a predicted model, not a curated record